RNAcentral lists this ribosomal RNA (560 nucleotides) under Pichia manshurica. RNAcentral describes it as "eukaryotic LSU rRNA". It matches the Rfam family "Eukaryotic large subunit ribosomal RNA", at positions 64 to 648 of the family's 3401-position model. Lineage: Eukaryota; Fungi; Ascomycota; Pichiomycetes; Pichiales; Pichiaceae. The record is from RNAcentral.
ACCACCAAGGGAUUGCCCCAGUAGCGGCGAGUGAAGCGGCAAGAGCUCAGAUUUGAAAUCGUGUUUCGGCACGAGUUGUAGAGUGUAGGCGGGAGUUCUCUGUGGAGCGCGGUGUCCAAGUCCCUUGGAACAGGGUGCCUGAGAGGGUGAGAGCCCCGUAGGGUGCUGCGCGAAGCUUUUGAGGCCCUGCUGACGAGUCGAGUUGUUUGGGAAUGCAGCUCCAAGCGGGUGGUAAAUUCCAUCUAAGGCUAAAUAUUGGCGAGAGACCGAUAGCGAACAAGUACUGUGAAGGAAAGAUGAAAAGCACUUUGAAAAGAGAGUGAAACAGCACGUGAAAUUGUUGAAAGGGAAGGGUAUUGGGCUCGACAUGGGGGGUGCGCACCGCUGUCUCUUGUAGGCGGCGCUCUGGGCGCCCUCUGGGCCAGCAUCGGUUCCUGCUGCGGGAGAAGGGGCUCCGGAAAGUGGCUCUUCGGAGUGUUAUAGCCGGGGCCAGAUGCCGCGUGUGGGAACCGAGGACUGCGGCUUCUGUCUCGGAUGCUGGCAUAACGGCGCAAUACCGC